UGGGGAAUAUUGCGCAAUGGCCGAAAGGCUGACGCAGCGACGCCGCGUGCGGGAUGAAGGCCUUCGGGUUGUAAACCGCUGUCGGGGGGGACGGAAGCUCUGACGGUACCCCCAAACGGAAGCACCGGCUAACUCCGUGCCAGCAGCCGCGGUAAUACGGAGGGUGCGAGCGUUGUCCGGAAUCACUGGGCGUAAAGGGCGCGUAGGCGGCGCGGUAAGUAGGGGGUGAAAUCCUGCGGCUCAACCGCAGAAUGGCCUCCUAAACUGCCGUGCUCGAGCACAGUAGAGGCAGGUGGAAUUCCCGGUGUAGCGGUGGAAUGCGUAGAGAUCGGGAAGAACACCAGUGGCGAAGGCGGCCUGCUGGGGCUGUUGCUGACGCUGAGGCGCGACAGCGUGGGGAGCAAACAGGAUUAGAUACCCUGGUAGUCCACGCCGUAAACGAUGGGUACUAGGGCGUCGGGGGGGAGCGGACCCUCCCGGUCGCCGUCGCUAACGCACUAAGUACCCCGCCUGGGGA
This 517-nucleotide ribosomal RNA is filed under the name uncultured bacterium. RNAcentral's name for it is "bacterial SSU rRNA". It matches the Rfam family "Bacterial small subunit ribosomal RNA", at positions 355 to 879 of the family's 1533-position model. The record is from RNAcentral.